This 916-nucleotide ribosomal RNA is filed under the name uncultured bacterium. RNAcentral's name for it is "bacterial SSU rRNA". It matches the Rfam family "Bacterial small subunit ribosomal RNA", at positions 8 to 916 of the family's 1533-position model. The record is from RNAcentral.
AGAGUUUGAUCCUGGCUCAGGAUGAACGCUAGCUACAGGCUUAACACAUGCAAGUCGAGGGGCAGCAUGAACUUAGCUUGCUAAGUUUGAUGGCGACCGGCGCACGGGUGAGUAACACGUAUCCAACCUUCCGUUUACUCAGGGAUAGCCUUUCGAAAGAAAGAUUAAUACCUGAUAGUAUGGUGAGAUUGCAUGAUAGCACCAUUAAAGAUUUAUUGGUAAACGAUGGGGAUGCGUUCCAUUAGGUAGUAGGCGGGGUAACGGCCCACCUAGCCGACGAUGGAUAGGGGUUCUGAGAGGAAGGUCCCCCACAUUGGAACUGAGACACGGUCCAAACUCCUACGGGAGGCAGCAGUGAGGAAUAUUGGUCAAUGGGCGAGAGCCUGAACCAGCCAAGUAGCGUGAAGGAUGAAGGUCCUACGGAUUGUAAACUUCUUUUAUACGGGAAUAAAGUAUCCUACGUGUAGGAUUUUGUAUGUACCGUAUGAAUAAGCAUCGGCUAACUCCGUGCCAGCAGCCGCGGUAAUACGGAGGAUGCGAGCGUUAUCCGGAUUUAUUGGGUUUAAAGGGAGCGCAGACGGGAGAUUAAGUCAGUUGUGAAAGUUUGCGGCUCAACCGUAAAAUUGCAGUUGAUACUGGUUUCCUUGAGUGCAGUUGAGGCAGGCGGAAUUCGUGGUGUAGCGGUGAAAUGCUUAGAUAUCACGAAGAACCCCGAUUGCGAAGGCAGCUUGCUAAACUGUAACUGACGUUCAUGCUCGAAAGUGUGGGUAUCAAACAGGAUUAGAUACCCUGGUAGUCCACACGGUAAACGAUGGAUACUCGCUGUUGGCGAUAUACUGUCAGCGGCCAAGCGAAAGCAUUAAGUAUCCCACCUGGGGAGUACGCCGGCAACGGUGAAACUCAAAUGAAUUGACGG